UUAACCUGCUAAAUAGUCAUGCCAAUCCUGCUAUUCAAAACCAGGGGGUGAGCGCGGUGCGGUCGGCUCCAGCCUUCGGGUUGGGGUCGGUUCGUGCCCCUUGCCUCUUGGCGGUUGGAUUGGUAGAAGUACUUCUUAGAGGGACAAUCGGUGAUUAGCCGAGGGAAGUUUGAG
This 174-nucleotide ribosomal RNA is filed under the name Balamuthia mandrillaris. Its description in RNAcentral is "partial small subunit ribosomal RNA". The record is from RNAcentral. Lineage: Eukaryota; Discosea; Longamoebia; Balamuthiidae.